CGGGGGGGUAACACCUGGAAACAGAUMCUAAUACCGUAUAACAGAGAAAACCGCAUGGUUUUCUUUUAAAAGAUGGCUCUGCUAUCACUUCUGGAUGGACCCGCGGCGUAUUAGCUAGUUGGUGAGGUAAAGGCUCACCAAGGCAGUGAUACGUAGCCGACCUGAGAGGGUAAUCGGCCACAUUGGGACUGAGACACGGCCCAGACUCCUACGGGAGGCAGCAGUAGGGAAUCUUCCACAAUGGACGCAAGUCUGAUGGAGCAACGCCGCGUGAGUGAAGAAGGGUUUCGGCUCGUAAAGCUCUGUUGUUAAAGAAGAACGUGGGUAAGAGUAACUGUUUACCCAGUGACGGUAUUUAACCAGAAAGCCACGGCUAACUACGUGCCAGCAGCCGCGGUAAUACGUAGGUGGCAAGCGUUAUCCGGAUUUAUUGGGCGUAAAGCGAGCGCAGGCGGUCUUUUAAGUCUAAUGUGAAAGCCUUCGGCUCAACCGAAGAAGUGCAUUGGAAACUGGGAGACUUGAGUGCAGAAGAGGACAGUGGAACUCCAUGUGUAGCGGUGAAAUGCGUAGAUAUAUGGAAGAACACCAGUGGCGAAGGCGGCUGUCUGGUCUGCAACUGACGCUGAGGCUCGAAAGCAUGGGUAGCGAACAGGAUUAGAUACCCUGGUAGUCCAUGCCGUAAACGAUGAUUACUAAGUGUUGGAGGGUUUCCGCCCUUCAGUGCUGCAGCUAACGCAUUAAGUAAUCCGCCUGGGGAGUACGACCGCAAGGUUGAAACUCAAAAGAAUUGACGGGGGCCCGCACAAGCGGUGGAGCAUGUGGUUUAAUUCGAAGCUACGCGAAGAACCUUACCAGGUCUUGACAUCUUCUGACAGUCUAAGAGAUUAGAGGUUCCCUUCGGGGACAGAAUGACAGGUGGUGCAUGGUUGUCGUCAGCUCGUGUCGUGAGAUGUUGGGUUAAGUCCCGCAACGAGCGCAACCCUUAUUACUAGUUGCCAGCAUUAAGUUGGGCACUCUAGUGAGACUGCCGGUGACAAACCGGAGGAAGGUGGGGACGACGUCAAAUCAUCAUGCCCCUUAUGACCUGGGCUACACACGUGCUACAAUGGAUGGUACAACGAGUCGCGAGACCGCGAGGUUAAGCUAAUCUCUUAAAACCAUUCUCAGUUCGGACUGUAGGCUGCAACUCGCCUACACGAAGUCGGAAUCGCUAGUAAUCGCGGAUCAGCAUGCCGGGGGGAAUACGUUUCCCGGGCCUUGUACACACCGCCCGUCACMMMAUGAGAGUU
This 1289-nucleotide ribosomal RNA is filed under the name Pediococcus pentosaceus. RNAcentral's name for it is "bacterial SSU rRNA". Lineage: Bacteria; Bacillati; Bacillota; Bacilli; Lactobacillales; Lactobacillaceae. The record is from RNAcentral.